GUGCCCAUCCCUUUUCUCCUCGUUCAUCUUUCCUAUGUUUGCUCAUUUUCCCUCUCCCGCUCUCCAUUGUUGCUCGGCGUCAUUUGCCUUCUUCACUCUGCCACGCUUCACUCCUUUUCACCUUGCUACGGCUGACUACGCUUCUUUGUCGUCGGUGUUCAUGCCCGUUGCAAUGACGUUUGCACGCUCGGUCGGUGUCAUUGGUUAAGCCCAUUCCAUUCCCUUGCUGUCAUGCGCCACGCCGGCCGUCGCGCCAUUCCGCAUUUUGCACUGAGGUUGUUCGUCUGUUGCUCCGCCUUUGUUUGCCCGUUGCUAUUAUGGUUGUGCUUCUUCGUUCUGGUAAUGUGCUGCUCCUUAGCUUCUUUCUUUGCAUUUCUGGUUAGUGGAGAGAUGUGCUGGCUGGUUACAGGGUGAAAUAUUAAGUUUGAGAAGAUAGGUGAUACGUCUCCAACGUAUAUAUAAUUUUUUUUGUUCCAUGCUAUUAUAUUAUCUGUUUUUGGAUGUUUUAUAUGCAUUAAUAUGCUAUUUUAUAUUAUUUUUGGGACUAACCUAUUAA
Triticum aestivum (bread wheat) is the source of this 556-nucleotide long non-coding RNA. RefSeq lists it as uncharacterized. The transcript has 3 exons. The record is from RefSeq and is a predicted model, not a curated record. NCBI's taxonomy places the organism in Eukaryota, Viridiplantae, Streptophyta, Magnoliopsida, Poales, Poaceae.